GGCUGCCCUGGCUCAGUUAUCACAGUGCUGAUGCUGUCCGUUCUCAAGGUACAGUACUGUGAUAACUGAAGGAUGGCAGCCA
Vombatus ursinus (common wombat) is the source of this 82-nucleotide microRNA precursor. Ensembl annotates it as microRNA 101-1. Its record names the gene MIR101-1. The record is from Ensembl. NCBI's taxonomy places the organism in Eukaryota, Metazoa, Chordata, Mammalia, Diprotodontia, Vombatidae.